This 253-nucleotide ribosomal RNA is filed under the name uncultured bacterium. RNAcentral's name for it is "partial 16S ribosomal RNA". It matches the Rfam family "Bacterial small subunit ribosomal RNA", at positions 524 to 776 of the family's 1533-position model. The record is from RNAcentral.
UACGUAGGCAGCAAGCGUUGUUCGGAGUUACUGGGCGUAAAGGGUGUGUAGGCGGUUGUUUAAGUUUGGUGUGAAAUCUCCCGGCUCAACUGGGAGGGUGCGCCGAAUACUGAAUGACUAGAGUGCGGGAGAGGAAAGUGGAAUUCCUGGUGUAGCGGUGAAAUGCGUAGAUAUCAGGAGGAACACCGGUGGUGUAGACGGCUUUCUGGACCGUAACUGACGCUGAGGGACGAAAGCCAGGGGAGCAAACGGG